RNAcentral lists this ribosomal RNA (459 nucleotides) under uncultured bacterium. RNAcentral's name for it is "partial 16S ribosomal RNA". It matches the Rfam family "Bacterial small subunit ribosomal RNA", at positions 338 to 795 of the family's 1533-position model. The record is from RNAcentral.
CCUACGGGCGGCAGCAGUGAGGAAUAUUGGUCAAUGGGCGGGAGCCUGAACCAGCCAAGCCGCGUGAGGGAAGAAGGUACAGCGUAUCGUAAACCUCUUUUGUCAGGGAACAAAGGCGGGGACUAGUCCCCGGAUGAGGGUACCUGAAGAAAAAGCAUCGGCUAACUCCGUGCCAGCAGCCGCGGUAAUACGGAGGAUGCGAGCGUUAUCCGGAUUUAUGGGGUUUAAAGGGUGCGCAGGCGGCCUGUUAAGUCAGCGGUAAAAGCCCGGGGCUCAACCCCGGCGAGCCGUUGAAACUGGCGGGCUGGAGUUGGAGAGAAGUACGCGGAAUGCGCGGUGUAGCGGUGAAAUGCUUAGAUAGCGCGCAGAACCCCGAUUGCGAAGGCAGCGUACCGGCUCCACACUGACGCUGAGGCACGAAAGCGUGGGUAUCGAACAGGAUUAGAUACCCCAGUAGUC